RNAcentral lists this unclassified non-coding RNA (593 nucleotides) under Bombus terrestris (buff-tailed bumblebee). Its description in RNAcentral is "misc RNA ENSBTSG00005033610.1". Lineage: Eukaryota; Metazoa; Arthropoda; Insecta; Hymenoptera; Apidae. The record is from RNAcentral.
ACGUAAAAGGAAAUUGAGCUCUAUUUUCUCAUAACAUGUAAUCCAUUUUUUUCGCGAUACACAAUCGGUAUUUUUGCAUCUCCACAGUGUGACACUAGGAGUUAUCAAUUUAAACUCUUAUCGAAUUUAGUAUUUCAUAACUUGAAUACCAUUUCGAACAUUUCAUUUUAUAUUUGAUUUGUUAAUGCUGUGAUUUGUUACUCGAAGACGAUCAUAGACAGAGCGCGACAGUUUUCCCACGCAACGAUUCACGUGCAGCGAUUGCAGUAGUUACAGACAAUGCGUAAGACGCGAAGUAGUAUAAGACAAGAGGCGUUAUUUCUGGCCAGUCUGGAAGACAAAUAAUUCGCUCGCCAGUGCGUGGCGAUAAUCAGCCAUCAAGAAAGUCAUCCACGUCACUCGAUGUAAGAUACAAACACACCGAAAGAUCACAUCUGCCACGAGACCGACCGAUAGAAGUUCGAAUUUCUGUCGAUUUCUCAAAACACGGGGACCCUGAGAGCAUCGACGCGGAGUUGACGGAAAAUACGAGGUUCCUGAUUUGACCUUCGAUUGGCCGCGCGUGCUCGAAGGGUCUAGAAGGUGAGGAAAUC